GCUUUCAACAUCCCCGUUCCGGGGUGCGGCUUUUCUUCUCAGAGGAGCUUCACGGCCGGCGCUGAAGGC
RNAcentral lists this small RNA (69 nucleotides) under unclassified sequences. RNAcentral's name for it is "NAD+-I sequence". It matches the Rfam family "nadA riboswitch". The record is from Rfam by way of RNAcentral.